Molecule: long non-coding RNA, 413 nt
Filed under: Equus caballus (horse)
Lineage: Eukaryota; Metazoa; Chordata; Mammalia; Perissodactyla; Equidae
Description: lncRNA (ENSECAG00000043546.2)
Source: RNAcentral
CAUGAAAAGAAUCUGCACAGUAGGGUGCAGGAUCCCCCUGAUCUAGGCCACUACCACCAGGAGGUGGCACAGCCCCUGUUGCACGAGGUCAUGUGGUACAGAGGCCUGCAGAUGGCCACAUAGCUAUCAUAGACCACGACAAUGAGGAGGAUGAUCUCUGAUCCUCCAAGAAAGUGUUCUACAAAGAGCUGAAUCAGGCAGUCCCUGAAGAAAAUGGUUCUUCUCUGGCACAGCCAGUGGAUGUUCAUCUUGGGAGUGUUGACAGGGGGAUAGGUGGCAUCUAUAAAGGACAAAGCCUGGCAAAUGAAUGGAAUACCUCCGCACUUGGGAUCUGAACCUGAGAACCCAGGCCUCCAAAGUAGAAUGCGUGGAAUAUUAACCACUUGGCCAUGGGGCUGGCCCCCUCCAACUUU